This 258-nucleotide long non-coding RNA is filed under the name Mytilus galloprovincialis (Mediterranean mussel). The record is from RNAcentral. Lineage: Eukaryota; Metazoa; Mollusca; Bivalvia; Mytilida; Mytilidae.
GCCGUCUCGGUUGCUGUCACAGUGAUUGAUUAAUUCCCAAGCUUGAGAAUCAUAUCAAUCGGAAGAUCUGAGUUCAUGCUUGAACUUCUGAAUAACGAUAGGACACUAACUUUAAGUUCAUGCUUGAACUUACUGCUGGACCUGUUCUUGUUUAUGACUACAAGCAUGUAGAUCAAAAAACGUCAGUGAUAGAAGUCCAUGCAUGGACUGACGUCAGGACUGACUUAGAACAGGGAUCUGUUGUUAGUUAGUGUCCGG